This 694-nucleotide ribosomal RNA is filed under the name uncultured bacterium. RNAcentral's name for it is "bacterial SSU rRNA". It matches the Rfam family "Bacterial small subunit ribosomal RNA", at positions 32 to 715 of the family's 1533-position model. The record is from RNAcentral.
AACGCUAGCUACAGGCUUAACACAUGCAAGUCGCGGGGUAACGAGAGGGAAGCUUGCUUUCCUUGUCGACGACCGGCGCACGGGUGAGUAACGCGUAUGCAACCUACCUAUCAGAGGGGAAUAACCCGGCGAAAGUCGGACUAAUACCGCAUAAAACAGGGGCACCGCAUGGUGAUAUUUGUUAAAGAAAUUCGCUGAUAGAUGGGCAUGCGUUCCAUUAGGUAGUUGGUGAGGUAACGGCUCACCAAGCCGACGAUGGAUAGGGGAACUGAGAGGUUGGUCCCCCACACUGGUACUGAGACACGGACCAGACUCCUACGGGAGGCAGCAGUGAGGAAUAUUGGUCAAUGGGCGCAAGCCUGAACCAGCCAAGUAGCGUGCAGGAUGACGGCCCUAUGGGUUGUAAACUGCUUUUAUACAGGAAUAAAGUUAGCCACGUGUGGUUAUUUGUAGGUACUGUAUGAAUAAGGACCGGCUAAUUCCGUGCCAGCAGCCGCGGUAAUACGGAAGGUCCAGGCGUUAUCCGGAUUUAUUGGGUUUAAAGGGAGCGUAGGCCGGAGAUUAAGCGUGUUGUGAAAUGUAGACGCUCAACGUCUGCACUGCAGCGCGAACUGGUUUCCUUGAGUACGCACAAAGUGGGCGGAAUUCGUGGUGUAGCGGUGAAAUGCUUAGAUAUCACGAAGAACUCCGAUUG